AAGUACAUCUCAUUGCAUUGCUAACUGGUGGUAGAGCAGAGGUGGUACCUCUAGUCUCUGAAGAAAUCUGUGCCAUCCAGUUUCCUUCAGUCAUCCCAAAGCUAAGGAAUUUGCAUCACGGGCCAUAGCAGUUGGCUGAAACUCUCAUCUGAUGGUCUUUGAAGACUUAAUUUAUAGAAUCUGACCUUCACAUGAGUCCUGUGAAGAAAGAAAUUGUAAAGGAAUGCAAGGAUGAUUGAAUGAGCCCGCCAUCUUCCUUCUGAGCCCAGCAGAGGCUCCAGAGUGCUCUCCACACUGCAGGACCUCUGGAUCACCUCGGGAUCACAGUAUGUGUCUGAGCGUUUUGCCAUAAUGUGUAUGCAUGUGCACCACAUGUGUGCCUGGUGCCUGUGGAGGACAGGAACAUCAGAUCC
Molecule: long non-coding RNA, 413 nt
Filed under: Mus musculus (house mouse)
Lineage: Eukaryota; Metazoa; Chordata; Mammalia; Rodentia; Muridae
Description: RIKEN cDNA A330093E20 gene
Source: RNAcentral